AUGAGUCAACCUGAUGGCAUCAAUAUCCCUAAUGGCAAGUUCUACCUAGGAGAUGCUGGAUAUGCAUGACGACCUGAGGUUCUUCCAUCCUUCAGGAAAACUAGGUACCAUCUAAACGAGUUCUCUUCCAGGAACUAUCAUAGCACUCCACAUUAAUUGUUUAAUCACAGACACUUCGGUCUUAGAGUUAUGGUUGAGAGGACAUUUGGAGCUCUGAAUAAUUGGUUUAAGAUCCUGGAUCAAAAGCCAUUCCACCCUUACCCUACCUAGUUUAAGCUUGUUCUUGCAUGUUGCAUCCUUCAUAACUAGAUCCUACAAUUGGGUUGUGAUGAACUUGUGCCAGAGGAUGAAUAUGUGACGCCUGAUGAUGUUUGAGGCUCUGGCCAUGGUGUGGACGCAUUUGUCAACGAAGCCUGGAAGAAUAAAAGGAUGGAGUGGGCCCAGGCAAUGUGGGGUAACAAAGGCUAG
This 468-nucleotide ribosomal RNA is filed under the name Triticum aestivum (bread wheat). RNAcentral describes it as "partial small subunit ribosomal RNA". The record is from RNAcentral. Lineage: Eukaryota; Viridiplantae; Streptophyta; Magnoliopsida; Poales; Poaceae.